Long non-coding RNA from Ostrinia nubilalis (European corn borer), 563 nucleotides. RefSeq lists it as uncharacterized. The transcript is spliced from 2 exons. The record is from RefSeq and is a predicted model, not a curated record. Lineage: Eukaryota; Metazoa; Arthropoda; Insecta; Lepidoptera; Crambidae.
AUAUUUUAAAAAUAGUCCUUUUUUACCUUUCAUACAAAAACCUGUUUGCCACCCUAGCUUUUUCAUGUAUUUUUGUUUCAUAAAAUGCGAUACGUAACUAAAUUAUUGUAAAUUUCUUUGUAUUAUCGUUCUACAGUUAUCGCAGUUUCUGUAUCAAAUUGAUUUUCUAUGGGGUGUCAUAAUGAAUUGGCAAUUUAAAGCAAAAAAACAAAAUGAGUCGCUCUCAUUUACUAUUUCGUUAUUUACUCUUUAGUUACGAUUUAUUUCUACUUUCCCAUGGUUUCUGAACAAUUCCGUAUUUAUUUUACACGGACAACAAUAGCUACACUCUGAAUGGCUGUUGGCCUGACGUCUCCGCCAUAACAUCUAUCGCGAAAAUUAGUGAAAACGUGUGUGUUUUGUGGGAUUACUUUUUCGUAACAGGCAGUAAAAUCAGCGAUUUUAUAUAGAACGAAAUGCCGCCAAAAACCAAUGCCGAAAGGCAAAAAGCUUACAGAGAACGACUCAAAAUGGAUAAACAUGAUGGAACAAAAAUAAUUUUAUUAAAAUAGUAUGAAUGAUUA